UGAAUAAUCAAUGAAAAGGUUUAUCCAUGCAAGCUUCAAACCAAAGUCAAGGAUGUCGAUCCUUCCAGGGGAGUCCAAAGUUCCAAGAUUGUUUAUCCAUGCAUCAUUUUGUCGAUCUACUAAGAUUAAAUUGUCUCGUUGUAGUUGCAAGACUGGAACAAUAGACGGCAGUUUACACCACCCAGUGACUUCCAUGCUGACGCGAUGAAUGAUUAUUUCAUUUCUCAGGCAGUGAUAGAAAAUACCAGAGCAAAUGAUAUACACAAGCGAGUUCCCUUUUUAGUACCGCUUACUAGCAGGGUUAAGAUUUUCACUACACAACUAGCAGCAGCUAGGCAAAUGAAUGGAUCUCUUGCUGUUUUUGCCAGAAACCGGUUUAGAAUUCGACGAAAUCAUAUAUUGGAAGAUGCUUUCAGUCAGAUGAGUGCAUUGUCUGAAGUUGAUCUUCGAGGAUCGAUACGUGUGUCUUUUGUUAAUGAAUUUGGAGUUGAGGAGGCAGGAAUUGAUGGUGGUGGUAUUUUUAAAGAUGUCAUGGAGAACAUUACACAGGCAGCCUUUGACGUGCAGUAUGGUUUAUUUAAGCAAAUUGCUGACCAUUUGCUCUACCCCAAUCCUGGUUCGGGAAUGAUACAUGAGCAACAUCUCCAGUUUUUCCAUUUCCUCGAAGUUCUUUUGGCAAAGGUCAUGUUUGAAGUAACUCUUGUUGAUAUACUUUUUGCAACAUUCUUCUUGAGCAAGUUAAAACAGAACUUUCAAUAUCAGGUUCACUGGACAGCUUGGAUGUUGAUGACCUACGGACACAUACUACUUAUUCAAGUGGUUAUCAUAGGGAGCAUUAUGUCAUUGAGAUGUUUUGGGAAGUUAUCAAAAGUUUCUCAGUGGAAAACCAAAAGAAAUUUCUGAAAGACUGGCAGAUGGUUUAAGUAGCUUUAAAACAAGUAGAAUAAAUCUUAUUGAUUUACCUGGUUCCGGAGGCAGAAGCUAACAGGUGCAGCUGGGGAGCGCUUGAAGGAAGCACGCAAUAUCAACCGAUCACUCUCACAACUCGGAUCGGAAUGAUGUUGCUCAUCUGAAAGAAGGCAGCAUCAUGUGCUUGAAGACUUGU
RNA transcript from Cucumis sativus (cucumber), 1105 nucleotides. It is a transcript of the gene named E3 ubiquitin-protein ligase UPL6-like, with no coding region annotated. The record is from RefSeq and is a predicted model, not a curated record. The transcript is spliced from 10 exons. NCBI's taxonomy places the organism in Eukaryota, Viridiplantae, Streptophyta, Magnoliopsida, Cucurbitales, Cucurbitaceae.